Molecule: ribosomal RNA, 373 nt
Filed under: uncultured organism
Description: partial 16S ribosomal RNA
Rfam family: Bacterial small subunit ribosomal RNA
Source: RNAcentral
GUAGGUGGCAAGCGUUGUCCGGAAUUAUUGGGCGUAAAGCGCGCGCAGGUGGCUCUUUAAGUCUGAUGUGAAAGCCCGCGGCUCAACCGGGGAGGGUCAUUGGAAACUGGGGAACUUGAGUGCAGGAGAGGAAAGUGGAAUUCCACGUGUAGCGGUGAAAUGCGUAGAUAUGUGGAGGAACACCAGUGGCGAAGGCGACUUUCUGGCCUGUAACUGACACUGAGGCGCGAAAGCGUGGGGAGCAAACAGGGAUUAGAUACCCUGGUAGUCCACGCCGUAAACGAUGAGUGCUAAGUGUUGGGGGGGUUUCCGCCCCCUCAGUGCUGCAGCUAACGCAUUAAGCACUCCGCCUGGGAGUACGGUCGCAAGACUG